This 266-nucleotide ribosomal RNA is filed under the name uncultured bacterium. RNAcentral describes it as "partial 16S ribosomal RNA". It matches the Rfam family "Bacterial small subunit ribosomal RNA", at positions 68 to 339 of the family's 1533-position model. The record is from RNAcentral.
GAAGGUACUUGUACCUUAGUGGCGAACGGGUGAGUAACACGUAGAUAAUCUGCCCUCAAGACGAGGAUAACUGUUGGAAACGAUAGCUAAUACUGGAUAGGUAUAUAGGAGGCAUCUCUUAUAUAUUAAAGGACCACUGGUAUACUUGAGGAUGAAUCUGCGGCGCAUUAGUUAGUUGGUGAGGUAAUGGCUCACCAAGACGAUGAUGCGUAGCCGGACUGAGAGGUUGAACGGCCACACUGGGACUGAGAUACGGUCCAGACUCC